GCAUAUAAAAUUUGUAGAAUCAAGGCUGCUGUCACAAAGUGGUUUUACAAUUGUCUAUUGGCUUGAAAUUUAAUUAGAAAUGUAUGUUGUGUAGUGAACCCUUACAAUGGCUUAACAUCUGCUUGUUAUGUAAAAAAAAGAUCAAUAUGCAUCCACUUGGUUGUUAUGUUAAUACAAAUCUUAUAAGAAGAAAACAGUGUCCAUAACAUGUAGUUAUUGAAAAAAUCUAAUAUGUAAUUACAUGACCUUGCAUUAUCAGAAGUUCAACCUAGUUCAUGAUAUUUUGUGUAUUUGGUUAAAACAUCUACUAAAUUAAAAAGUAGGAUAACAUUAUUGUCUUUGGCUUUAAUAUUUUCAAUGUAGUGGGUGGGAUUUGUUAAGAUUUAUAUGUGUAAUUUAAAUUGAUUAUGAUUGUCGUAACGUUAUUGUAAGUUGUGACGACUUGUGCUACAUUUCCAAACUCUGAUAACUUGCCGAAAAUUGUUUCAAAAUGUAACUUUAUAAUAUUUUCCACAGCCUUAUUUUAAGGCAACCAAUUAAUCAAAACUGUUAUUAUUUAGAUUAAAUAAUAUUAAUAGAAUAUUAAUAGAACCAUGUGAUGUGAAAAUAUGUACAAAACAAAAUGUAAUUUUUAUAAGAAAGAGCCAUCAGUGGCCUCUGAAAAAUGUGAAACAUUAAAUAUUUUGUACAAUUCGUCUUCUACUUUGACGACUGCUGGCGGUUGAUUCGCGGGAUUCGAUGUUUCACAAACGUCCAUGUAUUUUAGCUUUGGUCUUAGAGGACCU
This is a long non-coding RNA of Aricia agestis (brown argus), 785 nucleotides long. RefSeq lists it as uncharacterized. Lineage: Eukaryota; Metazoa; Arthropoda; Insecta; Lepidoptera; Lycaenidae. The record is from RefSeq and is a predicted model, not a curated record. The transcript has 3 exons.